GCAGCGACGCCGCGUGAGGGAUGACGGCCUUCGGGUUGUAAACCUCUUUCGCAGGGACGAAUUCAGACGGUACCUGCAGAAGAAGCACCGGCCAACUACGUGCCAGCAGCCGCGGUAAUACGUAGGGUGCAAGCGUUGUCCGGAAUUAUUGGGCGUAAAGAGCUCGUAGGCGGUCUGUCGCGUCGGCUGUGAAAACUUGGGGCUCAACCCCAAGCCUGCAGUCGAUACGGGCAGACUAGAGUGUGGUAGGGGAGACUGGAAUUCCUGGUGUAGCGGUGAAAUGCGCAGAUAUCAGGAGGAACACCGGUGGCGAAGGCGGGUCUCUGGGCCAUAACUGACGCUGAGGAGCGAAAGCGUGGGGAGCGAACAGGAUUAGAUACCCUGGUAGUCCACGCCGUAAACGGUGGGUGCUAGGUGUGAGCGGUAUUCCACGCCGUUCGUGCCGCAGCUAACGCAUUAAGCACCCCGCCUGGGGAGUACGGCCGCAAGGCUAAAACUCAAAGGAAUUGACGG
Molecule: ribosomal RNA, 513 nt
Filed under: uncultured bacterium
Lineage: Bacteria
Description: bacterial SSU rRNA
Rfam family: Bacterial small subunit ribosomal RNA
Source: RNAcentral